Gallus gallus (chicken) is the source of this 5332-nucleotide long non-coding RNA. RefSeq lists it as uncharacterized. The record is from RefSeq and is a predicted model, not a curated record. The transcript has 2 exons. Lineage: Eukaryota; Metazoa; Chordata; Aves; Galliformes; Phasianidae.
GCCCCGGGUCUCUCCCCGCGGCAGGGAUGAGAGCUGGUACCGGCCUCUCACCGCUCUGCCGCUAGAAAACAACUUUCUGUCUCCUUCUAGGCGCUGGGGAAGCGCCUCUUCCAUACAAAAUUCAUCCUUCUUCCAUGCAAGAAGUAACAGAAAUUUAAAAUAAAUAUAUAAAUAGAAGCAAAUGGUCUGGUUAGGAGGGGGAAGUGUGAAGGUGGGAGGGGAGAAGAAGGAAAUACUGGGAGCUUUCCCCCCCCCCUUCUUCCUCCCUCCCUCCCUGGAUGAGAGAAUUAAAAAGGGACGGUGGGAGGAGGAAGUUUGGAGGUUUUUGGUUUUUUAUUUUUUCAAAGCCUUCAGUUCCCAAAAGGAACCGAACAAUUACUAAUAAAUGGGUAGAGCAAACAGGGAGAAGGAGAAUGAGGAAGGGAAAGACAGCGAGUUUUGCUGGUCAGUAAACUUCAGGCUGCUGGGAUGAGGUCAUCGGUGUAAAAAUAAAGCGAUGGCGUCACUUGAAACCAAUCCCAGUGAAUGAACUCAGCCGAGGGGGGAGGAAGGGGAGGGAGGGAGGCGAAGAGGGGGAGCGGAGUUUCGCCAGGAGCCCGGACAGCCGCGGCAGCGCACAGCGGGAUUCGCUGCGCGGGCGCACAUGUACCGGGCAGCUCCGGCUACAAUCCUGCCACGAGGCCUAGCCAGCGGUGAGGGGACCGCGACGGCACACGACCUCCGCCUCGAGCUCCCCCUCGAGCUGACCGGGCCGGCCCCUGGGAGGAGCCAGGGCCGCCGAGCGAUUCAAACGCGCUGCCCCGUCCGCCCUGCUGCGCUGGGAUGGAAGCGCCUUAUCUGCGCCGUACGGUUCCGGCCCUUUCUGUAUACAGUCGCGUGCUCUGCGGGCCGGGCCUCAUCGGUCUCCGCUCCGUCGCAGAGGCAGGGAGGGAAGGGAUGGGAUGGAUUCGUGCCUCAGCGCCCGUGGCCCUGUGCCAGACCCGAGAGGUCCCAUGGCCUCACUGGGCCCGAGCCUGUGGUGGAGAUGGACAUAAGCCAAGAUUGCCAUCAGAGAGCUCUGCCCACGGUCAAGUGGAGCGUGCCAUUGUGGCUCUGGUGCUGCACAAAGCACAAUCCCACUGGCUGAAGGGUCUCUGGUGCCACCUUCCUCCUUGGCCAGAGGUGCUUCAGGUGUCUGAUGGAUGGUCUCUGUCCUACCCAAGUGUUCUGCGGACCUCCCACUCCCUGAGAUACCUCCACCUUCAUCACAAUCGUGUCAGUUCUGCUGGGUAUGUGGGACACCUUACACUUUGGAAUCCAAGCUCUGGUUAGUCUUUGUUGCCAGCUUUUUCAUCCCUGUGCCACAAACUCUUGGAAGAUAUCAGGAGAAGGAAGAUUAAUUCACAAAUUCUUGUGCUCCAGUUGCCGUCUCUUCAAAUGAAGCACUUUUGGAAAGGCAAAUGCUUAUCACUCACAGGAAAAUGUUUUGUGUAGUUGGUAUUUUUAAUUGUUCCAAAUAAAUUAUGUUCUGGUGGUCCCUGUCCUGGAAGAACUGACUGAAAACCACCUUGACAAGGGUCUGGCAUUAAGAUGUUAUGAGCUGUCUCUCAAGAGGAACCUCUAUUAGUCAUACUGAACAGCAAUAUUCUCUCCAAUAGAGUGCAGAACGUGUGGAAGUGAGACAAGUCCAAAGUGAAGCCUUAUCUGUGUUAGACACUGACCAAAGAAAGAUCAGAGGAAAUGAAGAAGUUGUGGUAAAGCAAUUUGCAUAGAUGCAUUUACUAUUUUGUAUGGAUUUAUCUUGAAGUAGCUAAAGAGCAUCUUUGCCUUCUUGCCUCAAGUAACCAAUAGCCGAAAAGAUUCCUUUUGCAGCCCCCUGCACAUUAACUAGUUGCUAACGGAUCUACAAGUGACCCAUUUCUAUGAAGGAGAGCCCGAAGUGUGCCAGGGAAACUCUAGGCGAGAGCCAAUGACCCAGCUCAUUCAGACCAGAGGAGUGCAAGAACAAGUAGUUCCAGUAUCAUUAUCCUCACAAAUAGCAGUGGCACCAGAAAAGGUUGUGUGCUGAGGAAGAGAGAUGUUUGAAUUCUCUCUUCCCUUUUAUCAUCUGAACCUGGUCACGUGUUAUGUAUGUGGAGUUUGUUCCUAAUGGGGAAACUGAAAAAGUUUCCUGAUUGUAAAACAGUAAGCAGAAAAGGUACUUGUGGUCUUUUGGAAUAUUUUAAUUUGUAGCUCAAAAAGGAUCUUUUCAGAAAAACCUUGGACAGCAAGGUAAAGCCUUUCCAACACAGAGUCAGGAUUUCUUUUCAUAAUGUACUAAGAGGUGCAACUGAACCAUUGUUACAUUACAAUUAAUUUUUGCAGGCUGAGGUAGCACACAAACAAGUAGUUCGGCAGGCUCAAAUACAUCAGCAUCUACCCUUGCUUUGUUAAGGGCCACUCUCUUUGCCUCAUCUCUGCAGCAGGCUAAGCAUGCACAUGUUGGCAGUUAGCAUGCCUCAGCCAGCAGGUGGUCACUCAUGAAGGAGCAGUCAUUCGUCUGCAUAUUGGUCUAACUUCAGCCUAGAUUUUUGUAUUGAAAAUUUUUCUUUCCCCUCAACUGCUUGCACAGCAGGCUCCUGGAAAGGACUUGAAAUGCAUUCACAAACCACAUAUCAAGCUGUAGUUCCAUGAACAACUGAAGAUGCACACUUGAACCAUCUGUGAGUGGGACUGCCCAUCUGACUUUCUCUCCCCAGCUUUCUAAAGUUUUACUAAGUGUCUGACAAUAUUUUUUUUUUCCCCUCAACACACAUUCCCUGCCCUUUUAUUUUUGGCAAAGCAGUGAUGAAAGAGUUAAUGUAAUUUCUAGUGUCUAGUUAUCAGGCUCAGGAGGUAAAAAGACUUGAAGUGUCAGCAUGAGGUGAAACAAGGGCAAAAGACAUGACAGUGGCUAUCCAACAGACUGUAUAACAGCUUUUGAACUUUGACACUCCCCAAUGUCCUGCAGUUCACAUUUGGCUUCUGUCAAGAAUGACUGUAAGUGAAUUGCUGCAUGCUGCCCCUGUUGUUUGUGGAGCAGAGAGGGAAAAUGGAUGUCUGCUUCUGAGAACUGGAGGUUAUACACCUUGUUUAUAAAGCUUUCUGUUUAUUUACGUGUACAAGCCAGCAUGCCUGACUUCUUGUUUCUUUCCCAUCUAAUAUUUUGUUUUUUGUUUUGUGGCAGUUCACUUGGUUAAUCAGUUAUCAGUGAUUAAACAUGGGAAAGAGGAUUGGCAGUCUGAAUAACGUCAUCAUGUUUUCCGCACAGUGGAAAGGACUGGCACCUCUUGUGAAAUAAGUGAGAAUCAAACUUUAAGCACAGAACUUACCAUGCUUUAAGGUCCCUGUGUGGGUCUUCAUUUCCUCCACAGGCUGAGGCUGCUGAAGAGGUUGCUACCCCCAGCCAGCUGCCCAAUGGCAGCUGUCACAGCCAUAUUCUGCUAAAGGUUACCACCUCUCCUACCUACUUGCAAGCUACUCAUGCAACCUGCUCCCAAACUUGUUUCAGCCUAAGUCGACCAGAGUAGCUUAAGCACUUUAAAUAGUUGGUGUCAGCUGAACUGGUUUGUUUUGGUUAGGGGAAACCCAAGUCAGCAGAUGGGAAGUGAGGUGAUGACCUUUUUAUGGACAGCUUCAGAGACAUUGGGUAGUUUGGUCUAAUCUGCUUUCAGAGCAGACUGCUAUACCAGACAUAUCUGCUACAGACAGCUCUUCAGGGUAUCUAAAAAUAGAAGGGUUGCCGACAUACCUACGUUGAAACAUUCAUAGCAUUUUUAGCUACCACUAGCUCUGUUGGCAUACAGAACAGGGUAUGGCAGCUGCAGAUUUGUGAGAGAGAAGCAGUGGGAGUGAGGAUUAGGAGAAUGGCAACCAUUAGAAAUAGAAGAUGUGGGACUGAGGGUAGGAAAGAGAGCAGCAGAGAGGAGAGUUUGCAAGGAGUGAUCAGUUGAAGACCACAGAACUAGAGAAGAGGAAUUUGAGCAGUGUGAAAAACGCGGGCAUCAGAAAACAUAGAGUGCAGAGUUGCCUUGCUUAGAGGAAAAUAGAGAGUUAAAACAAUUUGCAUCUCCCCAUUUUUCUCUUCCGCAUGUGUAUCAGACCUUUGGAAACUUCACCCCUGCAGAAAAUCUCAAGUAAGAGCAGCCUCACUGCUCUGUUUCUAUGGGUAGCUUUCACACUUAUGCUUCCCUGUAGCUUCUCCAGGACUGCCUGAGUCACAACAUGUCAAAGAAGCUGGAGUUACUAUGCAAGUGGAGAGCUCUGGGCUCAAAGGAGAUGCAUAGUUUUGGGCUGGUCUCUAGGAUAAGAGAGCAAUAUACCUGCUGUAUGCAGGACAAUAGAGAAAAUAUUGAGGGAGAGGAAAAGAAAAGAAAAUUACAAGAACUGCAGAACGUACAGUGGCAGAAAAAAAAAUGGAGUUGUCAGCAUCAGCUGCAUGCUUUCCCUUAUCUCCUUACUACAUAAAUCUUAUAUCCAUUACCCCAUAGGAAUUCACAUGAUUCCUAUCUUUAUAGUUUCUGAAUACUCUUUAUUUUUUGUAAGCCUUCUGUGGAAUGGAGGAGUGUCAUUAUACCGUGUUUUAUGGUUACAAGAAUGAGUUACUGAGAUAAAUUACCUUACAUGUGGUAAUAAAACAAGCCAGUUGCAGAUUGGAAAAGUAAACAAAGUUUUCUUCAAAUCCAACCACUGAUUCAUCCUUCUCCCUCUCCACUUUUACAUCUCUCAAAGGAAGAGUAACUUUUUUAUUUACCUGAGCAUACACAUUUAGUAAAGUCAAGCACUUAGACAAAAGUUUGUUGGCUCAGUAAUCUUAGUAAUUAGUAAUCUGAGACCAAGGGAAAAAAAAAAAAACAACUAAAAAAGGUAUGAGAUAGACAACAGGAAACAAUGAGAAAGAGAUAAAGGAAACAAUAAUAAUUUCUGAUUCUGUAGACAAGCUUUAAAGAGCUUAGGGAAUAUUGGUUGAUCUUAAUAAUCUCAUUCAGAGAAAAAGGGUGGCUAUUUUGAUGCUAAGCCACUUCUGUGAUUUUUCCUGUGUGAAACAAGAUUAACUUUUGAAAAUGCAUUUGAAAUCGGUGAUCAUAAUAAGUAUUAUUUACAGAAAAGGAGCAUAAUAACACUGUCAUCAGGAAACAGAAUAAUGAAAUGCUGUUUUCCAGAAACAGCAAGUUCAGACAAAUCUACAGCAACUGAGGAACCUAACUAGUAACAUUUUGUACUUUUCUGCAUGUCUAAGGAGAAAAUACGUAAAAGCAGCAAAUCACCAAAAUAAAUGAAGGGAUACAUUACAAAAAAAAUAAUCACAAUCCAUAAAUUAAGAUAAUUGUCAUAA